RNAcentral lists this ribosomal RNA (485 nucleotides) under uncultured bacterium. Its description in RNAcentral is "partial 16S ribosomal RNA". It matches the Rfam family "Bacterial small subunit ribosomal RNA", at positions 899 to 1397 of the family's 1533-position model. The record is from RNAcentral.
ACUCAAAUGAAUUGACGGGGGCCCGCACAAGCAGCGGAGCGUGUGGUUUAAUUCGAUGUUACACGAAGAACCUUACCCGGGUUUGACAUGUGGGUGGUAGGAAGCCGAAAGGUGACCGACCCUUCGGGGAGCCCUCACAGGUGUUGCAUGGCUGUCGUCAGCUCGUGUCGUGAGAUGUUCGGUUAAGUCCGCUAACGAGCGCAACCCUCGCCACGUGUUACAAGUGUCACGUGGGACCGCCGGUAUCAAGCCGGAGGAAGGUGGGGAUGACGUCAAGUCAGCAUGACCUUUAUGUCCGGGGCUACACACACGCUACAAUGGUCGGUACAAUGGGUCGCUAAGCCGCGAGGUAGAGCCAAUCCCCAAAGCCGGCCUCAGUUCAGAUCACAGGCUGCAACCCGCCUGUGUGAAGUCGGAGUUGCUAGUAAACGCGCGUCAGCCAUAGUGCGUUGAAUACGUUCUCGGGCCUUGUACACACCGCCCGU